CCGAUGGCAGCACCAGGAGUUUGUAGCCUGUGUCCUGAGGUGGGGCGGCAGCAGGAUCGUCAGUUUUGCUGUGUUCUGGGAGCAGUAGUGGCUCCAGUUUGGCUUUGUUUGUGCUGAGAAGCGGCUUGGUGAGCUGCGUGUGGGUGUCAGCCGCGAGUUUUGGGAUGAGAGGGGUCCCGCUGUGGGUCGCAGGAGAUCGCAAUUGCAGCCCGUGCGAGCUGGAUGUGCGUGUAGUGUAAACAGAUCUUUGCUUUUGAAAGACUCUGGUGCUUGGGUCUUGUUCAGUGUGCAAAAUUCGGACCGAAUAUCCAAACCGGCCAUGGAGCAGUGCUGAGCUCACAGAGCUAGGGCUGGAAGCGUCACUAGUAUGCUUCACCUGGAGGGAAACAGUGGCAUGCAGUGGAAGGAAGAGGAGAAGCAGGACCUGUUUGGGUGCCGAGCCGAUUUACCCGUGCAUGUCCGCAGUCAGAUACCAACUAACAGUGAUAACCACAGUGACAGCAGUGAUUUACCUGAAGUACCUCGUGAAGACCCUGAGACUGCUGAAAAUUAAUUGUUAAAUUAGAAAAAAUAGUCAUACAGUUGCAGUUAUAAGAUUAAGUUUAGCGAUAAGUCAUUGUUAAGAUUUAAGAUUAGGUAAUAAGCAGGUGUUAUUAGUUUUGCUUUUCUAAGAGAGGCAACUAAAACAAUGAGCAAAAUGUUAGGUGUUGGAAUGUUUAUUUUAAUUAAUGUUUUAAUAUAAACAGGAUCAGGAAUGCUUGAAAUUGACCCAAGACAAAAUAUGUGGGUCACUUGGGCCGAUCGGAGUAAACAAGAUUCAUUUUGUUUGUCUUUAGCCACUCCAUCAAAUCAUUUUCGGACUUGCUUGAUUGGAGUCCGAGUAGACUCUAUGACAGAGUUCAGAACCUGGUCUCAAAUCAAAAUUAAUCCAAAGAGUGUUUUAGGAACACAAGCUGUUGCCAUUGUGCAGAAUCUAAAAGUUGCUAGUACUGAGCCCCAAGAACUUGAUCUUUUGGGUUCUGUGCUGGGGAAUUACUGUUUGAUUUUUGGGCAUUUUAUCAUAAAUUCAAGCUUGCUAAUUGCAGACAAGCAGCAACUCAAAAAUGGCAACACUUGGUUGUCUCCCCAGUCCCCAUUGUAUUAUAACUAUACUGAAUACUGCAACAGUUGGACUGAGUCUGUAACACUAUUAACAGGUGUUGCAAGAAAAUUACCGCCGGGGAUCAUUCUCAUUUGUGGAGAUAGAGCCUGGUCUGCAGUGCCUCAAGAAGCUGUAGGAGGUCCAUGUUAUUUUGGUAAAUUAAUAUUGUUUGCUCCUAGCAUUCAUCAAGUUUUAGGAUUGUCUCAAAAGACCCGACGAGUCAAAUGCAGUAUGUCUCAACUAAGCCCCAACUGUAAAGAUCGAGUCAAAUUAUGGCAACCUGCAGCUGUAAUCUCAGCAUCAUUUUUUGCCCCAGGUGUUGCUUCAGCGUAAGCCCUCACGCAGUUAAAAAAUUUAGCCUGCUGGACAAGAAAACAAAUUAAUAUAACACUUAAUCUACUAAGUGAGCUUUCCAAAGGUGUUAAUGAUAUUCGUCAUGCUGUUCUCCAAAACAGAGCUGCUGUGGACUUCCUCCUUUUAGCACAAGGGCAAGGAUGUGAAGAAUUUGAGGGCAUGUGCUGCAUGAAUUUAUCAGACCAUUCCAAAUCAAUUUACAAGCAGCUAUCACAGUUGAAAGAGAACAUGAAAAAACUUGUAGUUGUAGACACUCCGUUUGACAAAUGGCUUGUAUCAUGGGGUUGUACUGGGUGGAUAAAGGAUUUGAUCCAUUUUAGUAUAGUGAUUCUCAUUGUUAUUAUAGCUAUCUUAGUUAUCUUGCCUUGCUUGAUACGAUGUAUGCAAAAAUUAGCCAGCUGUGCCUUAGCAUCAGUUUGGGAAGCUCAAAAAGAAAAAGAGGGAACUGUAACCGAAUUUCUUAGAGAUCGUCUGCACAAUGUGCUGUGGAAUGAGAUUUGAGCUAUCCCAAACUGGGCCUCAGAUUUGGGCCUGCUGGGCCUCAGAUUUUGGCCCAUGUAGAAGUAGAUAAAUUUUGUGGUGCAGUUAGAAAUUAGGUUAAGGUGUGUGCAUAGACUGUAUAGGACAAUUAGAGUGAAGAUACCGUAGCUGCCUUAAACUGAGAUAGUUUACAUACUUGUUCACGCUGAAUGCCAAUAAGAAUGUACCUGCAACUGUAAAUUAUUUUGCACUGUAUAAAACCAGCCAUUUCAGGAAUAAAGAGGAGAACGUAUGUUG
Molecule: long non-coding RNA, 2272 nt
Organism: Prinia subflava (tawny-flanked prinia)
Lineage: Eukaryota; Metazoa; Chordata; Aves; Passeriformes; Cisticolidae
Exons: 3
Source: RefSeq, a predicted model, not a curated record